This 253-nucleotide ribosomal RNA is filed under the name uncultured bacterium. RNAcentral's name for it is "partial 16S ribosomal RNA". It matches the Rfam family "Bacterial small subunit ribosomal RNA", at positions 524 to 776 of the family's 1533-position model. The record is from RNAcentral.
UACAGAGGGUGCAAGCGUUGUUCGGAAUUACUGGGCGUAAAGCGCGUGUAGGCGGUUUAGCAAGUCCUGUGUGAAAGCCCUGGGCUCAACCCAGGAAGUGCGCAGGAUACUGUUGAACUGGAGUAACGGAGAGGAUGGCGGAAUUCCCGGUGUAGAGGUGAAAUUCGUAGAUAUCGGGAGGAACACCUGUGGCGAAGGCGGCCAUCUGGACGUUCACUGACGCUGAGACGCGAAAGCAUGGGGAGCAAACAGG